AAAAGAAAAGAAAAAAUGAGACAUCUUAGAUUUACAUUACUAUACAGAAGCACGAGAGAUAUCAUCUCUCUUUUGGAGAACGCGGUCCUUCGAGUGUUAUAAAACGAGGAGAGAUAGAUAUUUUUUUUUUUUUUUUUUACAGAUACUCGACAAUGUCGCACUUUAUCGAUAUGUUCGGACAACUCGCUAUGCUAGCACCGUAUCCACUCCUCGCAUUACUUUUAUGUCUCUCGGUGAGGAGCUUCUGAAAUAUCGGCAGUAAUAUCGCCCGGUCCAAGAGUUCGCCGUCAGAGGCAGCACUAUAUAUUUCCCCACCACUCGAUGUUACGCCAGGCCCAGCUCUUGAACCAACACGGGUUCCACCUCCACCACGGCUUACACCACCUGAUCCGAGGAUACCUUCGCCACUUCCACCAACAUCACCAGCGCGUGGAUUACCACUUGCAUAUUUGCUGUUGUGAAUCGUCGCUACAUUUGGAGUGCUCUGAACGUAUUCCAAGCGAGCCUGCUGAUGACGCAAUUUCGAUUCGGUGUGUCUGCAUUCACGAAUCUUCCGCGAGGCAGCAGCCCGAUGAGGACACUCGGAGAUUGAAUGACCACCGCCGCUUCGACCACGUAAACAUUUCUCUCGCGAUCUCUCCGAAACCGAGCGUUGAAUGAUCGCUGAAGCUAACUCCUCACAUCUUUCUGUUAAAAGGAAAUACGAGCCGAAUACGACGAACAACUGACCUUUAUGAUUCUGAAUGCCAUGCCUCUGGAUAGUGGGCUCUAACAUACAGAGUGUGAUAAUUAAGUUAAACUGUUCGGUGCAAGAUAGCCUUUCGCGGUGAAAUGAUUUUGCGCAACAUAUGUAUCUAUCUUUAUUAAUUUAAUUUUUAUCAUUUUUGUCUACGUAAUCAUUGGUUUAUUAGGUACUAAUUAUAACGUCGACAUAACGUACGAGAAUACGUUAUAUUUAUAAUAUAAAAAAUUCCAUGAUAAAAGCCAUUUGAUGAUAUUUAGCUUGGAUGCAACCGGGAAGAUAUACAUCAACGUAUAAAAAUAAUUAUUAAGCAAUUUGA
Long non-coding RNA from Vespa velutina, 1061 nucleotides. RefSeq lists it as uncharacterized. The record is from RefSeq and is a predicted model, not a curated record. Lineage: Eukaryota; Metazoa; Arthropoda; Insecta; Hymenoptera; Vespidae. The transcript has 2 exons.